CAGUAGCCGCGGUAAUACGUAGGGUGCGAGCGUUAAUCGGAAUUACUGGGCGUAAAGCGUGCGCAGGCGGUUGUGUAAGACAGGUGUGAAAUCCCCGGGCUUAACCUGGGAACUGCGCUUGUGACUGCACAGCUAGAGUAUGGCAGAGGGGGGUGGAAUUCCACGUGUAGCAGUGAAAUGCGUAGAGAUGUGGAGGAACACCGAUGGCGAAGGCAGCCCCCUGGGCCAAUACUGACGCUCAUGCACGAAAGCGUGGGGAGCAAACAGGAUUAGAUACCCCGGUAGUCCCUGUCUCUUAUAC
RNAcentral lists this ribosomal RNA (301 nucleotides) under uncultured bacterium. Its description in RNAcentral is "partial 16S ribosomal RNA". It matches the Rfam family "Bacterial small subunit ribosomal RNA", at positions 509 to 807 of the family's 1533-position model. The record is from RNAcentral.